This is an RNA transcript of Fragaria vesca subsp. vesca, 3104 nucleotides long. RefSeq lists it as uncharacterized. Lineage: Eukaryota; Viridiplantae; Streptophyta; Magnoliopsida; Rosales; Rosaceae. The record is from RefSeq and is a predicted model, not a curated record. The transcript has 5 exons.
GAACCACCAUAGCUAAAAUCAAACACGAUGUUUCCUCUCAAUCCCAAACACUUGCCCAAAUCAUUGUCCUCUCUCUUCUCAGCCUACGCUUCCUUUACAGCACUCAAGUUCUUGCUCCAGACCGUUGUCAAUGAGCUCAAAGACUUCAUUCCCUCCUGGGUCCGAUCAUACAUAUACUCAAAGCUUCGGAAAUUCUUGUUUGGACCUCCCUCAAAUGAUAAGCUCACUCUUGUCAUCAACAAGAACAUCGGCAUGGCGACCAACGAGAUCUACGACAAGGUGGAGGUCUACCUCGGAUCCAAGAUUAGUCCCUCCGAUUCUCGGCUCGAACUGAGCAAGACUAGCCGGCAGAAGAGUGUCAGCCUCGCCGUUGAGAAAAGAGGCCAAGUUAUCAAGGACAAAUUCGAUGACAUAAAGCUCCGGUGGAGCUACGUGGAAAGAUCAUCAAAGAAGAACAAAACAAAGUACAAGCCUCAUGGUGAUGAUGAUGGAGAAGACCAGUAUCAGUGGAGCUUUGAGUUGACUUUUGAUAAGCAACAUAGAGACAAAGUGAUCGACUCCUACAUGCCCUAUGUGCUUGCUCAGGCGGAGUCCAUUAAACAAGAGGAAAGGGUUCUGAAGCUUUAUAGCGCUGGCAGGGAGGAGUAUAAGUCUUCCAAGAGUUGCAUAGACCUCGUGCACCCUGCAACUUUCGAGACGAUGGCAAUGGAUCCAGAGCUGAAGAAGAUGAUUAUAGAUGACUUGGAUCGGUUUGUGAAGAGAAGGGAGUUGUAUAAGAAGGUUGGUAAGGCUUGGAAAAGAGGGUAUUUGUUGUACGGUCCACCCGGUACUGGUAAAUCCAGCUUGAUUGCAGCCAUGGCUAAUUAUCUCAAGUUUGAUGUGUAUGAUUUGGAGCUUUCUAACAUUUACGGAAACUCUGACUUGAGGAGGAUUUUACUUUCUACAUCAAAUCGUUCUAUUGUGGUUGUGGAGGAUAUUGAUUGCAGUGUGCAAAUCAAAAGUAGGGAAUCAGCUCUGCCUUCUAAAAGCUCUGCAGUUCAGGCAAGCAAGUUCACACUGUCUGGUCUGCUGAACUUCAUAGAUGGGCUGUGGUCCUGUUGCGGCGAUGAGCGAAUAAUUGUGUUCACCACCAAUCACAAGGAGAGAUUAGACCCGGCAUUGUUGCGUCCUGGUCGAAUGGACUUGCACAUUCACUUGUCAUAUUGCACUCCAAGUGGGUUCAGAAUCUUAGCCUCUAACUACCUUGGCAUUCAUGAAAGCAGCCCUCAUCACCUCUUUGGAGAAAUCGAAAGCUUGAUAGAGAGCACAGAGAUCACCCCUGCAGCUAUAGCAGAGGAGCUUAUGAAGAGUGAUGAUGCAGAUGUUGUUCUAGAAGGGCUUGUCAAAUUCCUCAAAGAAAAGAAGGCUGCAGAUGAAAAAAUGAAGUCAAAAAAGGCUAAUAAAAGAGCUGAGCAGGAAAGGAUAAAACCCAAGGAUAAUCCUAGUUCAUUCUCUCCUUGGAAAUCCAUAUUCGGUUUGGGUUUGCCAUGGUAUGGCAGAUGCUCUAAGACAGCAGAGGAGGAAGAGAGUAAAACAGGGAAGGAGAAAGUUAGGCUAACACACAACACAAUGUUUCCUCUCAAUCCCCAACACUUGCCCAAAUCAUUGUCCUCUCUCUUCUCAGCCUACGCUUCCUUUACAGCGUUCAAGUUCUUGCUCCAAUCCCUUGUCAAUGAGCUCAAACACUUCAUCCCCCCCUGGGUCCGAUCUUACAUAUACUCCAAGCUUCGAAAAUACUUCUUCAAAUCUCGCCCAAAUGACAAUCUCACUCUUGUCAUCAACAAGGUCAUCGGCAUGGAGCUCAACGAGGCCUACGACAAGGUGGAGGUUUACCUCGGAGCCAAGAUUAGUCCCUCCGAUUCGCGACUCGAACUGAGCAAGACGAACCGGCAGAAGAGUGUCAGCCUUGCCAUUGAGAAAAGAGGCCAAGUUAUCACGGACACAUUCGAUGACAUUGAGCUCCGAUGGCGCUAUGUGUCCAAAUUAUCAAAGAAUACUUGCACAACGAAGGACAGCUUUGAGUUAACUUUCGAUAAGAAACACAGAGACAAAGUGAUAGACUCGUACAUGCCCUAUAUGCUUGCUCAGGCUGAGUCCAUUAAACAAGGAGAAAGGGUUCUGAAGCUUCAUAGCACUGGCAGGGAUCCUUAUGGGAGUCCCAAGAAGAGUUGUAUAGACCUCGUGCACCCUGCAACUUUCGAGACGAUGGCAAUGGAUCCAGAGGUGAAGGAAAUGAUUAUAGAUGAUUUGGACAGGUUUGUGAAGAGAAGGGAGUUUUAUAAGAAGGUUGGGAAGGCUUGGAAAAGAGGGUAUUUGUUGUACGGUCCACCCGGUACUGGCAAAUCAAGCUUGAUUGCAGCCAUGGCUAAUUAUCUCAAGUUUGAUGUGUAUGAUUUGGAGCUUACUAGUGUUUAUGACAACUCGGAAUUGAGGAGGGUGUUGUUGUCUACUUCAAAUCGUUCUAUUCUGGUUGUGGAGGAUAUUGAUUGCAGUGUGCAAAUCAAAAGUAGGGAAUCAGCUCAACCUUCCAAAAGCUCUGCAAGCAAGUUCACCCUAUCGGGUUUAUUGAACUUCAUAGAUGGGCUGUGGUCAUGCUGCGGCGAUGAGCGAAUAAUUGUGUUCACCACCAAUCACAAGGAGAGAUUAGACCCUGCAUUGUUUCGUCCUGGUCGAAUGGACUUGCACAUUCACUUGUCAUAUUGCACUCCAAGUGGGUUCAGAAUCUUGGCCUCUAACUACCUUGGCAUUCAUGAAAGCAGCCCUCAUCACCUCUUUGGAGAAAUCGAAAGCUUAAUAAAGAUCACAGAGGUCACCCCUGCAGCUAUAGCAGAGGAGCUUAUGAAGAAUGAUGAUGCAGAUGUUGUUCUAGAAGGGCUUGUAAGAUUCCUCAAAGAAAAGAAGGCUGCAGAUGAUAAAUGAAGUCAAAACAGGCUAAAAUGGCUGAGCAGGAAAGGAUUAAGAAAGCAGAGGAGGAAGGGACUAACAAGGCAGAGGUGGUAGGGAAUGUGAGAGGAAAGGAGGAAGGGACUAACAAAUCAGAUAUCCAGGAAAUGGCAAACUGGUAG